UAUUGAACGCAUAUUGCGGCCACGGGUCCGUCCUGUGGCCACGCCCGUCUGAGGGUCGGCGACGUUGUACCCAUCGCUGGAAGGCUCUGGUCCAGCGCCUUGAGCUUUCGUAGCCCGAGAGGCUCCGUGGCUUAAAGUGAAGACCUGAAAGUGAAAAGAAAAGUCCUGGGGCGCAGCGGCGGCAGCAGCAGCAGCAGUCCUCAUGCGAGCGAAGGACAUGGCCCGGUUGAACUGUCUUUGCAAGCGAGCUAGCUGUGUUUGGGACGGAUCACACUUCCGACCUCAGAUCGGACGAGAUUACCCGCUGAAUUUAANCNUAUCAC
This 323-nucleotide ribosomal RNA is filed under the name Hemistomia fabrorum. RNAcentral's name for it is "eukaryotic LSU rRNA". The record is from RNAcentral. Lineage: Eukaryota; Metazoa; Mollusca; Gastropoda; Littorinimorpha; Tateidae.